CCUACGGGUGACAGCAGUGGGGAAUAUUGCGCAAUGGGCGAAAGCCUGACGCAGCGACGCCGCGUGAGGGAUGAAGGUCUUCGGAUCGUAAACCUCUGUCAGCAGGGAAGAACGGUCACUGUGCUAAUCAGCAGUGAAUUGACGGUACCUGCAAAGGAAGCACCGGCUAACUCCGUGCCAGCAGCGGCGGUAAUACGGAGGGUGCGAGCGUUAAUCGGAAUUACUGGGCGUAAAGCGCUCGUAGGCGGUAUGUCAAGUCAAGGGUGAAAUCCCCGCGCUCAACGUGGGAACUGCCUUUGAAACGGGCAAACUGGAGUGGGUGAGAGGAUAGUGGAAUUCCAGGUGUAGGAGUGAAAUCCGUAGAUAUCUGGAGGAACAUCAGUGGCGAAGGCGACUAUCUGGAACAUAACUGACGCUGAGGAGCGAAAGCGUGGGGAGCAAACAGGAUUAGAUACCCUAGUAGUC
This 465-nucleotide ribosomal RNA is filed under the name uncultured bacterium. Its description in RNAcentral is "partial 16S ribosomal RNA". It matches the Rfam family "Bacterial small subunit ribosomal RNA", at positions 338 to 795 of the family's 1533-position model. The record is from RNAcentral.